GUGUGCACAUGUGUGCAAGUAUGAAUGUGUGUGCGUGCGUGUGAGUACAAGUGUGCACAUAUGUGCAAGUGUGACUGUCCUGUGCAUGAGUGUGUGUGAGUGUGUGCGUGUGUGUGCGAUUGAGUAUGCAUAUGCAUAAGUGAGUACAAGUGUGCACAUGUGUGCAAGUGUGUGUCAUGUGUGAGCAUGAGUAUGUGUGCCAGUGAGUAUUCAUGUGUCCACGAGUAUGUGUGUGUGCAUGUGUGCAAGUGUGAAUGUGUGUGCAUGUAUGAGUGUGCACAUGUGUGCACAUGUAAAUUCGUGGGUGAGCAUGAGUGUGUACGCCAGUGAGUGUACAUGUGUAAGCAUAAGUGUGUGUGCACGUGUGUGCAAGUGUGAAUGUCAUGUGUGAGCAUGAGUAUGUGUACGCCAGUGUGAGUGUGCAUGUGUGAGCAUGUGUGUGCACGUGUGUGAAUGCAUAUGCAUGGAAAGGAGGGAGGAUGGCGUUGUGUGUCUCACUGCACGUGGAUGAUAAUACAGCUUUGUGCCUGCUGUGUCUGCAUGAGCAUCUGAGCUUGUGUGUGCUGACGUACUUGUGUGUAUGGGGAGUGAAUGUGACUUGCUAUGUGUGGACAUCGGAUCCGUGUGUGUGCGCGCAUAUGCCUGUCAAUGUGUAGCCAGGGUGGGAAGGUCACGCAGGCGCCGCGGGCGGGCGCCGCCUGGGCCUUCUCUCCUUCGCACCUUCCUCCUCUCUCCCCCGCCCCUGCUUGGCAGCUGCCCUGUUUGCAAACACUGUCUCUUCCUCUCCGCGCCCUCCUUGGCCUCAGGCCCAGAGCAAGGCUACAACUCGGAGCUGGAUCGUGUGUCACGCACUCCCUGGCCCCUGCAUACCCCGCAGGGCGCCUGCUGUGGCCACCGAGGUGUUGCCUGGAGCGGGGCUGACAGCAGGUGUGCUCCUGUGGAGUGACCCCAAGGAGCCUUCGAAUCCAGGUUCAAGCCAUAGAGUUGGGGCCUCUGACCUGGACAAUCCGGAGUUUUGUUUUCGUCACCCCGGCUGGAGUGCAGUGGCACGAUCUCGGCUCACUUCAACCUCCGCCUCCUGGGUUCAAGUGAUUCUCCUGCCUCAGCCUCCAGAGUAACUGGGACUACAGGCACCCGCUACCACGCCUGGCUAAUUUUUGCAUUUUUAGUAGAGACAGGGUUUCACCAUGUUGGCCAGGCUGGUCUCAAACUCCUGACGUCAAGUGAUCCUCCUUCCUUGGCCUCCCAAAGUGCUGGUAUUACAGGUGUGAGCCACCGUACCUGGCCUUAGUAAUUUUGCUUUCAAGUAUCAUUAUUUAAGAAAUACAUUUUGUAAGGCUAUAGCUGUCAUAUAUAGUGAUUCCUCUGAUGGAUCUGGACAAAGUCAAUUGAAAACCUCCUGGAAAGGAUUCACCAUUCUAGAUGUCAUUAAGAACAUUCGUGACUCAGAGAAGGAAGUCAAAAUGUCAACAUUAACAGGAGUUAGGAAGAAGUUGAUUUCAACCCUUAUGGAUGACUUUGAGGGGUUCAAGACUUCAGUGGAGGAGUCACCGCGGAUGUGGUACAAAUAGCAAUGAAACUAGAAUUAGAAGCGGAGCCUGAAGAUGUGAUUAAAUUGCUGCCAUCUCAUGAUAACACUUGAACAGACGAGUUGCUUCUUAUGAAUGAGCACCAAAAAAAGUGGUUUCUUGAGAUGGAAAGUACUUCUGGUGAAGAUACUGUGAAUGUUGUUGAAACGACAAUAAAUGAUUUAGAAUGUUAAUAAACUUAGUUAAUAAAGUAGCAGCCGGGUUGGAGAAGAUUAACUCAAUUUUUAAAAAUUUUUUAGAGUCAGGGUCUCGCUCUGUCACCCAGGCUGGAGUGCAGUGGCACAAUCAUAGCUCACUGCUGCCUCCAUCUCCUGGGCUAAGUGAUCCUUCCAUCUCAGCUUCCCAAGUAGGUGGGACUACAGGUGCACACCACCACACCUGGUUAAUUUUUUUUUUUUUUUUUAGACGAAGUCUCGCUCUGUCACCCAGGCUGGAGUGCAAUGGUGUGAUGUCGGCUCACUGCGAGCUCCACCUUCCGGGUUCAUGCCAUUCUCCUGCCUCAGCCUCCCGAGUAGCUGGGACUACAGACACCCGCCACCACGCCUGACUAAUUUUGUUGUAUUUUUAGUAGAGACGGGGUUUCACCGCGUUAACCAGGAUGGUCUCGAUCUCCUGACCUCGUGAUCCGCCCAAAGUGCUGGGAUUACAGGCGUGAGCCACCGCGCCCGGCCGGCUAAUUUUUAUUUUCUUCGUACACACAGGGUCUUUCUAUGUUGCCCAGACUGGUCUCAAACUCCUGGGCUCAAGUAAUCCUCCUGCCUCAGCCUCCCAAAGUGCUGGGAUUACAGGCGUGAGCCACUAUGCCCGACCUUACUCCAAUUUUGAAAGAAAUUUUUACUGUGGAGUAAAUACUAUCAAAUAGCAUUGCAUGCUACAGAGAAAUCUUUCAUGAAAGAAAGAGUCAAUUGACGCAGCAAACUCCAUUACUGUCUUAUUUUAAGACAUUGCCACAGCCUCCCCAGGCUUCAGUAACCAUCACCCUGAUCAGUCAGCAGCCAUCAACGUCGAGGCAAGAUCCUCCACCAGCAAAACGACUAUGACUUGCUGAAGACUCCGGUGGUCAUUAGCAUGUUUAGCAAUAAAGUAUUUUUAAUUAAAGUAUGUAAUUAAAUACCUUUUUCUUUUCGAGAUAGAGUCUCGCCCUGUCACACAGGCUGGAGUGCAAUGGCAUGAGCUCGGCUCACUGCAACCUCUGCCUCCUGGGUUCAAGCGAUUCUCCUGCCUCAGCCUCCCAAGUAUCUGGGAUUACAGGCACGUGCCACCAUGCCCAGAUUAAAUACUUUUUUUUAGACAUGAUGCUAUUGUACACUGAAUAGUCUACCAUAUGGGCUGGGGCGGUGGCUUAUGCCUGUAAUCCCAGGACCUUGGGAAGCCGAGGCAGGCAGAUCACCUGAGGUGGGGAAUUUGAGACCAGCCUAGCCAACAUGGUGAAACCCCAUCUCUACAAAAUUACAAAAAUUAGCCGGGUGUGGUGGUGUGCAUCUGUAGUCCCAGCUACUCAGGAGGCUGAGGUGGGAGGAUCGCUUGAGCCCUGGAGGUCAAGGCUGCAGUCAGCUGUGAUUAUACCACUGCACUCCAGGCUGGGCAACAUAGUGAGACCCUGUCUCAAAAGAAAAACAAAAGAAAAGAAAACAAAAAGGCCAGGUGUGGUGGCUCACACCUGUAAUCCCAGCACUUUGGGAGGUGGAGGUGGGUGGAUCAUUUGAGGUCAGGAGUUCAAGAUCAGCCUGGUCAACAUGGUGAAACCCCGUCUCUACUAAAAAAUACAAAAAAUUAGCCGGGCGUGGUGGCGGGCGCCUGUUAAUCCCAGCUACUCCGGAGGCUGAGGCAGAAGAAUGGCGUGAACCCGGGAGGCGGAGCUUGCAGUGAGCCGAGAUCGCGCCACUGCACUCCAGCCUGGGCAACAGAGCGAGACUCCAUCUCAAAAAAAAGAAAACAAAAACAAAAACAAAAAUUAGCCGGGCAUGGUGGCGUACGCCUGUAAUCCCAGCUACUUGGGAGGCUGAGGCAGGAGAAUCACUUGAACCUGGGAGGGGGAGGUUGUAGUGAGCUGAGAUCGCACCACUGCACUCCAGCCUGGGCGACAGAGCCAGACUUUGUCUCAAAAAAAAAAAAAGUUAAGAAAAAAAAAAGGCAGAAUUUGCUUUGGUGGCUCUAGGCAGAGCAUGAGAUUCCGUGUUUGUAAACAGCUUCCACAUGAGUCCAAUGCUGCAGGCCCGUGGGUCACAUUUUGAGGUGCAAGGAAUGUGAGAUGACUUUAGAGUAUGGAUCCAGCAUCGGGCCCAGCUCUCACUCACGCAAACCGCUUACCUGCUGCGUUCUUCGGGGCCUCCUGUGUCAGCGCUCAUAGGAGAUCACAUCCAUUGCCCAGGGAAAAUCAAAGAUACGUGUCUUCCUUCGUACCCCUUAUCUGAUGAAGAAGUCCUCUCUGCUCCAACUUUGUUCUGUGUGUGUGUGUGUGUGUGUGUGUGUGUGUGUGUACCAUAAUGGCUGUUGAAUUUCAUCAAAUGUUUUUUUCUGCGUCAAUUGAGCUUGCUGGGCCUAUGCAGCUACUGUUUUGGGCUAGUUGCAAGCUGGCAGGCAGAGGAUCGAGCUCAGCUGUCCCAUGGGAGGUGUCCAGAGCCAGGGCCAGCACUGGGCGGGGGCUGGCCACCUAUUCUGGCCGUGGGCCCUGGGGCCAGAUGUUUGGGCUUAAGUGCCUGGCCAAGCAGGGAUAGAGUGACUGGGUAAUUAAGCACUCCCUUCUACAGAGCUGGCAGAAGGUGGCAGGGGGCGGAGGGGCCUAAGGCCAGAGUGCCCAACAGCCCCCCCUCCACCUCUGGCCUGCAGAGAGGGGCUGGGAGCCCGAACCCCAGGCUGGGCCCUCUGUUACUUUUGGUGGGGGGUGACCCAGGGCCAGCGUUCAUCUGCUCCCACCUGGACCUGGAAAAGGAGCCGUUUUCUUCCAUGUUGGGGUGCUGCCCUGUGACCCCCCAUCUCCCCAGGGCAGAAGCUCUCCCCUCAGCCUCUCCAGGGAACCAGUCAGCAGUUAUUUAAGUCUCAGGGCUUAAUGAGAUCUGGGGAACAGAAUUCUCAGCAUGCUCCUUCGCCCGCUGGCAGGAGCAGACCGUCCAUCUAUCAGGACCCCCAGACGUUAUCCGCACCCCGCCACCCCCCCGCCCAAGUAACUGGACCCUGUUGGCCUUUGCAGGACUGUGGGGGCGCCAGCCUUCAUCACCUUCCACGACCUCUAAGCCGAGAGAGGAGGAGGAGGAGGAAAUGGUUUCCUGCUUGAGGCUGCAGGACCCAGAAUCAGAGUAGUGGGGUCUUCCGAGACGGCCCCCAAUUUACAAACCAGCAAGCUGAGGCACAGAGAUGGGAAGGAGCCCACCCACGGUCGCUUGGAGUGGGGCAGUCAUGGAAGCCCCAAUCUGGAAACGCAGGCCAUGGUCAAAGCACGGAAAUUCACAUCACAGUAUUCAGGGUUUGAGUCCCUGGCUCUGCCGUGUGCCCUUUGGCAACGGGCCUGCCCUCUCUGAGCCUCAGAGUCCUUUCUGAAACGGGGAUCAAAGUUUCUCCCUCAAAGGGCUGUGGUGAGGACUGGAUGUACGUGGAUUAACAGUCCAUGCAGCGUUAGCACAGAAAAGUACAGGCAGGCGUGGUCGCAAGCACUGUCAUUAACUGAGCACAUCCUACAUGCCACGUUGUCCUUAUCUGCACUGCCACAUUUAAUCCUCACAACCCCAUGAGGCAGGUGCUAUUGCUCUACCCAUUUUACAGGUGAAAAAACUGAGGCUCAGAGAAGGGAGGGAAACUGCCAGAGUUCCACAGCCGGGACAUGGUUAAUCCAGGACUUGAACCCAGGUCAGUCUGACACAGCCGUGGAAUAUUUUCUUUCUUUCUUUUUUAAUAAAGAUGGGGGUCUCACUAUAUUUCUGGUCUGGAACUCCAGGCCUCAAGCCAUCCUCCCAUCUCGGCCUCCCAAAGUGCUGGGAUUACAGACAUGAGCCACUAUGGCCAGCCAAAAUAUUAUUUUAAGAGCAAGGGCCCUGAGUGCCAAGCAUGGCCCACCACGUGUUCCCUGAGUGAUCUGGGGUGCACGACCAAACCUCUCUGUGCCUCGAAGCCCAGAUCUGCAGAAUGGGGAUAAAUACAAUAAUUGCUCUCACAUGACGGGCGCUUAUCAAGAGCCAUCAUAAGCACUCUCCUAGGUAUUAACUUAUUCAAUCAUUAUAGCAACCCCAUGAGGUAUGUGUACUAUUAUUAUCCCUGUUUUAUAGUUGGAGAAGCUCAGACCCAGAGGUUAAGUAACUGGCUUAUGUUUACUCCCAGCAAGGACUCAAACUCAGGAAUCCAGGCUGCAAAGCUCACCUCCUCAUCUGCUGAGCUGUGGUAACACUACCUUCCUCAGCAGGCACUCGUUAAGACAAAAUGACAUCAUCAUCCAUGCAAAGCUCUUAAAACAGAGCCUGACACAUAGGAAGCGCCCAACAAAUAUUAGUCAUGAUGAUGACGAUGAUGAUGCACUCUUUCAUUCAAAAGAUAUUUAUUACUGAGUGUGUACUCUGCAUCAGCUUCUGUCCUAGAAACUGGGCUUACAUCCAUGAACAAGGCCGUUUUUGCUCACACGAAGCUUCAUCAUUGUCACGACCAUCACUAUGAUCGUCACCAAGAUCAUCUUUACCACCAUAAUCACCAACAUCAUCACCAUCACCAUCAUUACCAUCAUUGCCUCAUCACCAAGACUGUUCCUUCACAGUCAUCACCACCAUGAUCACCUUUCACACCAUCAUUAUCACCUCCACUACCACCAUCACCGUCACCAUCAAUGUGACCAUCAUCACCAUGAUCACCACCGGCACCACCAUCAUCAUCAUCAUUACCAUCAUUCCCUCAUCACCAUGACCACUCCCUCAUGACCAGCACCACCAUCAUCACCAUCACCACCACCACCAUCAUCGUGAUGGUCACUGCCUCAUCACCAUGACCAUUCCCUCACAAUCAUCACUAUCACCAUCACCUUCAUUUCACCAUCUUCAUCAUCAUCAUCAUAAUUACCACCAUCACCACCACCACUAUCAUCAUGAUGGUCAUUGCCUCAUCACCAUGACCAUUCCCUCAUGACCAGGACCAUCAUCAUCAUCAUGAUAAUCAUCAUCAUCACCACCACCAUCAUCAUCAUCAUCAUGUCCACCGCCUCAUCACCAUGACCAUUCCCUCAUGACCAGGACCAUCAUCAUCAUCAUGAUAAUCAUCAUCAUCAUGUUCACCGCCUCAUCACCAUGACCAUUCCCUCAUGAUCAUCAGCAUUAUUUCACCAUCUUCAUCACCACCACCAUCUUACCAUUAUCACCAUGACCCUCACCACAAUGAUCAUCACCCUAUCAUGAUCUCCGUCGCCAUCACCAUCACGAUCAUCACCAUCAUCACCACCCUCAUAAUCAUCUCCAUCAUCAACACCGCCUGGCAUGGCACCUGGGCUAUUCACAUAUCAAAAUCAGUCUUGUGAUUCUGUCUUUCUAGGAUUCCCCAAAA
This 7103-nucleotide long non-coding RNA is filed under the name Homo sapiens (human). RNAcentral describes it as "non-protein coding lnc-SBK2-1:2". The stretch from base 1657 to 1725 matches the Rfam family "mir-1255 microRNA precursor family". Lineage: Eukaryota; Metazoa; Chordata; Mammalia; Primates; Hominidae. The record is from RNAcentral.